Molecule: long non-coding RNA, 333 nt
Filed under: Elaeis guineensis (African oil palm)
Lineage: Eukaryota; Viridiplantae; Streptophyta; Magnoliopsida; Arecales; Arecaceae
Description: long non-coding RNA (EGUI_LNC041774)
Source: RNAcentral
UAGGUUAUCCUACCAUCGCAGUUAUGUAAAACUGUUAUAGUAGGUAUGACGUACCACAGUGGUUACGAUAACCGCUGCUGUAUAAGUACUGCCGUAGCUCUUUUUUAUAAUGGUGAAGACAUGAUCUUCAAUAUCGAAGAAGAAACAAUAGAAGCCGACAACCAAUAUGUAUAUCACAAAGGAUUUGAUAUUCAGAAGAGAUCAUUUUAUUGAUCCACCAAGGGUGAGAAAUCAUGAAGUAAGAGUUCACAUGUUGUAAAGAAGGAAUAUAUAAGUCUAAGAUCAAUAUGUUAUUUGAUGGGUAAGAUCAUACAGCACCCACAAUGCCAUGCA